GAUGAACGCUGGCGGCGUGCCUAAUACAUGCAAGUCGAGCGAACGGACGAGAAGCUGGCUUCUCUGAUGUUAGCGGCGGACGGGUGAGUAACACGUGGAUCACCUACCUAUAAUACUGGGAUAACUUCGGAAAACCGGAGCUAAUACCGGAUAAUAUUUUGAACCGCAUGGUUCAAAAGUGAAAUCCGGUCUUGCUGUCACUUAUAGAUGGAUCCGCGCUGCAUGAGCUAGUUGGUAAGGUAACGGCUUAGCAAGGCAACGAUGCAUAGCCGACCUGAGAGGGGGAUCGGCCACCCUGGAACUGGGACACGCUCCAGACGCCUGCGGGAGGCCGCAGUCGGGAAUCUUACGCAAUGGGCGAAAACCUGACGGAGCAACGCCGCGUGAGUUAUGGAGGUCCUCGGAUCGUAAAGCUCUGUUAUUAGGGAAGAACAUAUGUGUAAGUAACUGUGCCCAUCUUGACGGUACCUAAUCAGAAAGCCCCGGCUAACUACGUG
Molecule: ribosomal RNA, 497 nt
Filed under: uncultured bacterium
Lineage: Bacteria
Description: partial 16S ribosomal RNA
Rfam family: Bacterial small subunit ribosomal RNA
Source: RNAcentral